AGAGGGUGCAAGCGUUAAUCGGAAUUACUGGGCGUAAAGCGCGCGUAGGUGGUUAUUCAAGUUGGCUGUGAAAGCCCCGGGCUUAACCUGGGAAUGCCAGCCAAAACUGGAUGACUCGAGUACAGUAGAGGGAAGUGGAAUUUCAGGUGUAGCGGUGAAAUGCGUAGAUAUCUGAAGGGACACCAGUGGCGAAGGCGGCUUCCUGGACUGAUACUGACACUGAGGCGCGAAAGCGUGGGGUAGCGAACAGGAUUAGAUACCCUGGUAGUCCACGCCGUAAACGAUGAGAACUAGCCCGUUUGUGUCCUAUGAGGCAUGAGUGGCGCAGCUAACGCGUUAAGUUCUCCGCCUGGGAGUACGGCCGCAAGGUUA
Molecule: ribosomal RNA, 372 nt
Filed under: uncultured organism
Description: partial 16S ribosomal RNA
Rfam family: Bacterial small subunit ribosomal RNA
Source: RNAcentral